UACGUAUGGUGCAAGCGUUAUCCGGAUUUACUGGGUGUAAAGGGAGCGUAGGCGGCGCGUUAAGUCUGAUGUGAAAACCCGAGGCUCAACCACGGGAGUGCAUUGGAAACUGUGGAGCUUGAGUGCGGGAGGGGCAGGCGGAAUUCCUAGUGUAGCGGUGAAAUGCGUAGAUAUUAGGAGGAACACCGGCGGCGAAGGCGGCCUGCUGGACCGUAACUGACGUUGAGGCGCGAAAGCGUGGGGAGCAAACAGG
This 253-nucleotide ribosomal RNA is filed under the name uncultured Lachnospiraceae bacterium. RNAcentral describes it as "partial 16S ribosomal RNA". It matches the Rfam family "Bacterial small subunit ribosomal RNA", at positions 524 to 776 of the family's 1533-position model. The record is from RNAcentral. Lineage: Bacteria; Bacillati; Bacillota; Clostridia; Lachnospirales; Lachnospiraceae.